ACGGAAGGCAGCAGUGGGGAAUAUUGGGCAAUGGACGCAAGUCUGACCCAGCGACGCCGCGUGAGGGAAGAAGGUCUUCGGAUUGUAAACCUUAGUCAACAGGGAAGAAGAAAGUGACGGUACCUGUGGAGGAAGCCACGGCUAACUACGUGCCAGCAGCCGCGGUAAUACGUAGGUGGCAAGCGUUAUCCGGAUUUACUGGGUGUAAAGGGUGUGUAGGCGGGAUUGCAAGUCAGAUGUGAAAACUAUGGGCUUAACUCAUAGCCUGCAUUUGAAACUGCAGUUCUUGAGAGUCGGAGAGGUAAAUGGAAUUCCCGGUGUAGCGGUGAAAUGCUUAGAGAUCGGGAGGAACACCAGUGGCGAAGGCGAUUUACUGGACGACAACUGACGCUGAGACACGAAAGUGUGGGGAGCAAACAGGAUUAGAUACCCUGGUA
This 437-nucleotide ribosomal RNA is filed under the name uncultured Oscillospiraceae bacterium. Its description in RNAcentral is "bacterial SSU rRNA". It matches the Rfam family "Bacterial small subunit ribosomal RNA", at positions 341 to 792 of the family's 1533-position model. The record is from RNAcentral. Lineage: Bacteria; Bacillati; Bacillota; Clostridia; Eubacteriales; Oscillospiraceae.